CCUACGGGAGGCAGCAGUAGGGAAUCUUGGACAAUGGGGGCAACCCUGAUCCAGCCAUGCCGCGUGAGUGAUGAAGGCCCUAGGGUCGUAAAGCUCUUUCGCCUGUGAUGAUAAUGACAGUAGCAGGUAAAGAAACCCCGGCUAACUCCGUGCCAGCAGCCGCGGUAAUACGGAGGGGGUUAGCGUUGUUCGGAAUUACUGGGCGUAAAGCGCGCGUAGGCGGAUUGGAAAGUUAGAGGUGAAAUCCCGG
This 250-nucleotide ribosomal RNA is filed under the name uncultured bacterium. RNAcentral's name for it is "partial 16S ribosomal RNA". It matches the Rfam family "Bacterial small subunit ribosomal RNA", at positions 338 to 605 of the family's 1533-position model. The record is from RNAcentral.